CUACGGAGGGUCCGAGCGUUAUCCGGAAUCAUUGGGUUUAAAGGGUCCGUAGGCGGGAAUCUAAGUCAGUGGUGAAAUCUUGCAGCUCAACUGUAAAAUUGCCAUUGAUACUGGAUUUCUUGAAUUAGUGUGAAGUGGUUAGAAUGUGUAGUGUAGCGGUGAAAUGCAUAGAUAUUACACAGAAUACCAAUUGCGAAGGCAGAUCACUAACACUAUAUUGACGCUAAGGGACGAAAGCGUGGGGAGCGAACAGGAUUAGAAACCCCGGUAGUCC
This 274-nucleotide ribosomal RNA is filed under the name uncultured bacterium. RNAcentral's name for it is "partial 16S ribosomal RNA". It matches the Rfam family "Bacterial small subunit ribosomal RNA", at positions 523 to 796 of the family's 1533-position model. The record is from RNAcentral.